Molecule: long non-coding RNA, 2151 nt
Filed under: Mus pahari (shrew mouse)
Lineage: Eukaryota; Metazoa; Chordata; Mammalia; Rodentia; Muridae
Description: lncRNA (MGP_PahariEiJ_G0005745.1)
Source: RNAcentral
ACACCCCACACACAUUCAAUCACAGCCUCAAGUUCAAAAGUGAAUUAAAACUCAAAGAAGCCUGGGGACAGGGACAAGGGUACUUCUGUCAUUCAUUCUCUUCCCCUGCUUCCUUGGGGACAAGGGUGGCCUGGAGGAACAAUAGUGUCCCCUGGCCCCUUCUUCCUGCAUUGGGUUAGAAAAGGCAGCAGAAAGCAGUGGGGAUGACAAAGACACACACACACACACACACACACACACACACACACACACACACACACACACCAGGCUUGAGAUGGGAGGAGGGGGAGUCUCUGGCUGGACGAACAGACUGUUAUUUUGGUGGUGGGCACAGUCCCAGAUAGGGGCAGCGUCCCCCUUUUUCCUGGCUUUCCAGGGAGAGCAGCAAGAGAAAGAAAGAAGCAAACGAAAUUCCUGAAUGGAUAAGAGAUGCUACGUCAGCGGUACUGGAGCCGCAUCCUCCACUCCACGAGAAAGGAAGAGAAGAGCAAGGAGAGACCAGCCGGGGCGGCAGCGGCAGCGGCCAGUGGCCUCUCCGUGCGUGCUGCACAGAGGCAAGAAGCAGCCAUCCAUCCAGAAGCUGCCUCCGGUUGGUUCUGUUUGUCUGGAUGACAUCGUAGGUGGCCGGCAUCUCUGGCUUUGGGGUAUUUAUUUCCUUCCUUGCUUUGAUGGUGGUGUGGGUGGGGGAGGGGAAAAAAGGAAGCUAGUCCUGUUCCACCCCAGCUCUCCACCCAACUCACUGUCUCUUCUAGGCUCCAGCCUUUGAUUUUGGUCCAUUUUGUAGUAAGAACUGCAUUGUCAACGCUAAGAAGCAAUGCAAACAACAUAGCCUGGGGACAAAAGGCCACCCUGUGUCUGGUUCGUUGCAUAGAGGAAAGCACACUCCCUCUUCUUCCACAGCUUCCUGGGGAUGAGAUGGGGGUCUUUGACUCUGGGGAAGUGGUUGAGAAAGGUUUGAGAAAGGGACAGAGAUAGCUAAGGGGGUGGCAGGUGAGCCAGGAGAGCAGUAUAGAUUGGGAUGGAAGGGGUGGGGAGCUGGGUCCUUAAGUCGCUGAGUGGGUUCGUGAGCACCUUUAAGCAUUGGGAGAUAAUGCUGCUUGCCUUGUCCAUGAAUUUACCACUGAAUGUGUCUGAGUUUAUGGAUGUGAGUGUGCAUGCCUGUGAUUGAGUGUGGGUGUGCUUUACACACUCACGCUUUUGACCAGAGAAGAGCUUAUGGGAAACAUGGAUGACUAAGCUGACCCUGGGCCAUCUUGGUCAUUUCCCUACAAUGUAGGGCUGGGGCAAUAGGCAUGUGAGUCCGUAGGGAGCUGGGAAGACCAUGAGCUGGGAAGGCUGAAAAUGCUCCCACUCCAGAAAGGGUGUGUCCCAGGGGCCACCUCCAGGCAUCCUAACUUCAUCUGUGCAUUGCUAACUGCUGUUACUUUUAUUUGUCCCAAUGCUAUACACAUUGCAGGCAUUCAAUGACAGAAUACUGUUUAACAGUAGCCACAGUAAUUAGCUUCUGUUGCAGAGUUAAGUACACCCUCAGAUAAAGCUCUGAGUGUAUCUUUAAGACAAAUCCACCUUGCAAACAAGGAAAAACUAUGUUUUUAUUAUACUCUUUUGUACUACUUUACUAUUUCAGGAAAGUGCUUUACUGCCAAAGUUUAUGUAAAGACUCAAAAGGUCCCAUCCAGACAGCAUAACUGAUCCUGUGCUUCUGUCUCUGUAGGCCCUUCAGACUCAGAGACAAUAGGUGGGCAGCUGUAUUGAGAGGGGACAUUGGCUUCAGUUGUAGCUGUGCCUCAAGGCUUGGGUGCUUGCCUAGUAUAUACUGAGUCCUGGGUUUGAUCCCAGGGACCCCCCCCAAAGGAUGAAGGCUUCUAGAACACCCACAGACCCCUAUUAGCACAAAGAGUUGAAAUGUCCUCCCAAGAAGUAGUCACAGUGAGAACCACAGGCCACCAGACCGCUUUGUGCUGGAGGAGACAGAAAGGGCUCUGCUCCUUGGGAGACAGGCUGGUGAGCCCUCUGGACUAUUGUGCCAGCUGUGAGUCCUGCAGACUUGCUGCAUCCAGUGCUGUUCUCUGUUGUCUCCUCUGACACAGAUAUAUUUCUCAAAGAUUCUGCAUGAACCUUACCUACUUUUUUUGGUUUGUGGAGGAAGAA